This 460-nucleotide ribosomal RNA is filed under the name uncultured Flavobacterium sp. RNAcentral's name for it is "bacterial SSU rRNA". It matches the Rfam family "Bacterial small subunit ribosomal RNA", at positions 338 to 795 of the family's 1533-position model. The record is from RNAcentral. Lineage: Bacteria; Pseudomonadati; Bacteroidota; Flavobacteriia; Flavobacteriales; Flavobacteriaceae.
CCUACGGGCGGCUGCAGUGAGGAAUAUUGGACAAUGGGCGCAAGCCUGAUCCAGCCAUGCCGCGUGCAGGAUGACGGUCCUAUGGAUUGUAAACUGCUUUUGUACGAGAAGAAACACUGAUUCGUGAAUCAGCUUGACGGUAUCGUAAGAAUAAGGAUCGGCUAACUCCGUGCCAGCAGCCGCGGUAAUACGGAGGAUCCAAGCGUUAUCCGGAAUCAUUGGGUUUAAAGGGUCCGUAGGCGGUUUAGUAAGUCAGUGGUGAAAGCCCAUCGCUCAACGGUGGAACGGCCAUUGAUACUGCUGAACUUGAAUUAUUAGGAAGUAACUAGAAUAUGUAGUGUAGCGGUGAAAUGCUUAGAGAUUACAUGGAAUACCAAUUGCGAAGGCAGGUUACUACUAAUUGAUUGACGCUGAUGGACGAAAGCGUGGGGAGCGAACAGGAUUAGAUACCCGGGUAGUC